CACAAGCAGCGGAGCGUGUGGUUUAAUUCGUUGCUACACGAAGAACCUUACCUGGGUUUGACAUAUAGGUUGUAGGGAACUGAAAGGGACCGACCCUUCGGGAGCCUAUACAGGUGUUGCAUGGCUGUCGUCAGCUCGUGUCGUGAGAUGUUCGGUUAAGUCCGCUAACGAGCGCAACCCUCGUCGUAUGUUAUAUGUGUCAUACGAGACUGCCGGUAAAAAGCCGGAGGAAGGUGAGGAUGAUGUCAAGUCAGCAUGACCUUUAUAUCCAGGGCUACACACACGCUACAAUGGUCUGUACAAUGGGUAGCCAAGCCGCGAGGCGGAGCCAAUCCUGAAAGCAGGCCUCAGUUCAGAUUGCAGUCUGCAAUUCGCCUGCAUGAAGUCGGAAUCGCUAGUAAUCGCAGGUCAGCAUACUGCGGUGAAUACGUUCCCGGGCCUU
RNAcentral lists this ribosomal RNA (442 nucleotides) under uncultured Anaerolineaceae bacterium. Its description in RNAcentral is "bacterial SSU rRNA". It matches the Rfam family "Bacterial small subunit ribosomal RNA", at positions 924 to 1382 of the family's 1533-position model. Lineage: Bacteria; Bacillati; Chloroflexota; Anaerolineae; Anaerolineales; Anaerolineaceae. The record is from RNAcentral.